RNAcentral lists this unclassified non-coding RNA (253 nucleotides) under uncultured Parcubacteria group bacterium. RNAcentral's name for it is "contains 16S-23S intergenic spacer region". It matches the Rfam family "Bacterial small subunit ribosomal RNA", at positions 524 to 776 of the family's 1533-position model. The record is from RNAcentral.
GACGAGUGCCCCAAGCGUUAUCCGGAAUUAUUGGGCGUAAAGGGUGCGUAGGUGUCCCAUUAGGUUUCUCGUUAAAAUCCAAGGCUCAACCUUGGGGGUGCGAGAAAAACCGAUGGGAUUGAGGGUGUGAGAGGUGCACGGAACUCAUAGUGUAGGGGUGAAAUCCGUUGAUAUUAUGGGGAACACCAAAGGCGAAGGCAGUGCACUGGCACAUUCCUGACACUGAGGCACGAAAGCCAGGGUAGCGAAGCGG